GCCAGCCUGGUCUACAAAGCGAGUUCCAGGACAGGCUCCAAAGCUACACAGAGAAACCCUGUCUUAAAAAAUUUUUUUAAAAAAGAAAGAACCCCCAAAAUGCCCUUCCUUGGGGUAGCUCAGCUCAUUGGCAUCUUUCAGUUCUCAGCUGGACUAUCUCCUCCCUGAAGAGGUCUCCCUUACCCCCAACCCUCUCUACCUCCCCAGCAGUCACCUCACCCCCGCCAUCCCCUCCAUUUCUUUCCCUUCCUUUUUAAAGUAGCUAGUUUGUUCCUAAGCUUGUGUUCUUGUUUUCUUUCUUGCUGUUCCUCCAGGAUACAAGCUCUGUGCAGUCGGAGCCUGGUGGGCAGAGUGGCUAAGCAGAAGCGGCUGGGGCGGAGCAGCCUAGGGAGAGAGCAGGUCAGAGAGUGGACAUCCAGGUGGAGGGCUGGAAAAGCUAAUCAUGGUAGUCAACUUGACACACCCACGAAGAGGGAAACUCAGGUGAGGCAUUGCCUCCAUGAGACUGGCCUGUGAGCAUGUCUGGGGGGCAUUUUCUGAUUGUUGGGUGAUGUAGAAUGGCACUGCCCACUGUGGGUGGCACCAUCCCCAGGCAGGUGGGCUGCGUAAGAAAGGUAGCUGAAUGUGAGCCAGAAGCAAGCCAGCGAGUAAGCUGAGUGAGUCAUGUUUGUUCCUCUGGGGUUUCUGCUUCAAGCUCCUGCCUUGGUUUCCUUGGUGGGCUGUAACUUGUAAGAUGAAAUGAACUUUUUCCUAAGUUGCUUUUGGUUAUGGUGCUUAACACAGAGACAGAAAGCAUACUAGGACUAGGGCAGGUAAAGGCGCUUGCCACCGAGCGUGGGGGCUUACGUCAGAUCCUGGGCAGCCACGGAAUGCAAGGAGAGAACAGACUCCAACACGUGUGGACCGAGGCAUAUCCGUGAGUGGGCUGUCACAUGCAGUCACUCAUGGUUAUUAUGCACACACGCAUAGUAGAAAAACAUUUAAAAACAAAUAUUCUAAAACAGCCACACACGGCUUGCAUGUAGCAUUCCUUCUCUAUGUAGGCAUGAGAUAAAUUUGGGCUUCUAUUACUGGGUCCAUCUAGAAGACACAGGCUUUGUGCAUCUUAAUUUUGUUUUAAAGAUUCUCUUUUCUGUCUAUCCAUUUAUUCAUUAACUACAAAUUUCACUGUGUGGUAGACAUUCUUUGGGAGUUCGGCUACCUCCUCAGGACAUCUGUACUGCUGCUUAACAUUGAAAUGGGAGUCUGACUUCUAAAUUUAUUUUUUAAAUUAUCUUUUCGUGUGUGUGUGUGUGUGUGUGUGUGUGUGUGUGUGUGUGUGUGUGUGUAAGUGUGUGUAAGAGAGAGAGAGGGAGAGAAAGAGAGAGAGCGUUUAUGUACCCCACAUGCAUGCAGAAUCCUGAGGAGCAGAAGAGGGCAUCAGAUAUCCUUGAUCUGCAGUUACAGACAAUGGUGAGUUGCCAUGUGGGUGCUGGGGAUUGAACCCUGGUCCUCUGGAAGAGCAGCCAGUGUCCUUAACCCCUGAGCUGUCUCUCCAGCCCCCUGACUUCUAAAUUCAAAUGCAUAUAUUUUAAAGUCACUUUUGAGGUACAAUUUAUACGCAACAAAAUGAUCUCAUUUUAAGUGUCAGAAAAUUUGGUUUUUGUUUUAAUUUUGUUUAUUUAGUUUAUUAGUUUAUGUAUGUGGGUAUUUUGCCUCCAUGUAUGUCUGUACACCAUGUGCUUGCCUACUGCCCAUGGGAGGACAGAAGGUGACAGAUUCUCUGGAACUGGAGGUACAGAUGCUUGUAAGCUGCCAUGUGGGUGCUGGGAAUUGAACCAGGCCCUCUGGAAAAGCAGCCAGUGCUCUUGACUGAUGAGCUGUCUGUCCAGCUCCAAACAUUUUGACAGACAUACACAGUCAUAGAACCACAGCGGCAGUCAAAUGCAGAGCAUAGAGGUUACCCCCUGAGUCUGUACUGAAGGCCCCAAAUCCCUUCAACAUAAUGUAUGGAGGGAUGUAGCUCAGUGGUAGAGCAUUUGCCCAGCAUGUGUGAGGUUCAGGGUUCAGUCCCCAGCACCACACAGAGCAAGAGGACAGCUGAAAAGCCAAUGGAAGGGGGAAGUCAGAAUCCUCAUCACAUCCCACAGAAACUGAGCACAGGAUUGGCGUGGAAACGAGAUGCACACGCAUCAGGAUCAGAUCCUAACAAGACAAUAUCUGCAGAAGCUGAGAGCCCGGAUGAGAGAGCACGAAAGCUUGAGAGAUGGUGGCCCCCUGGGUAAAAACUGCACAAGCCUGAUGACCUGAGUGGCCUGGUGACAGGCACACAGCAGACCCCCAACAAUGAUCUAUUGACAUUGAGUGGAGAGCUAGAAAAAUGAAACAGAAGGCGGACUGGUAAAAUACAGCCACACACGCAUGAAGACCUGAGUUCGAUUCCCUAGAACCCACUUUAAAAAGCUGGGUGGCACACACUUGUAACCCUGGUGCUAGGGAUGAAGGGACAAGCAGAUUCCUGGGGCUUGCUGGCUAGCCAGCCUAGUCAAAUUGUCAACGCCAAGCCAGUGAGAAACUGCAUCCAAAAAACAAGGUUAAUGGUUCCUGAGGAAUAACACUCCAGGUUUACCUCAGACCUCCACAUGAAAAUGCACACACAUGUGCAUGAUACUCCCAACUCACAUACACAUAUACAUGCAUGCACGCGCGCGCGCGCGCGCACACACACACACACACACACACACACAAAAAAAAAAAAAAACACAUGCACACAAAAUACUCAAACACCCAUGUCUUCCUCAGGUUACUGAACUGUUGCUCUAACAAUCUGCCCAUGUUAAUCAAGGAAGGCUUUCCAGAGGAGGCGACCCGUGAACAGGAACUUGACAGAGUGCAUUCUCCUACUUACCAGACAGAUAGGGAAAGAGAAGCACAGAGAAGUAAUGAAAUUUGUUCAAGGACACACAGGAGGAAGAGAGAAACAGGGGCUAGACAGAACCCAGCACUUGGGGUCCCAACCCAUUCCUCCCAAGCGCCAGGUGGGUCCUAGAGCAGCAGGCAAGAGGGAACCUGGGGAGAGACUCCCAGCCAGAGUCUGGAAUCCAUUUGCCAGGCCAGCAGUGUUUUCCCAGGGAGAAGUGGGAGGCCCUGGCCUGUCCCCUCCCCAACACCAUCUGUUCCCUGUUUAUUUAUUUAUACUUAAGUCUCACCCUCCAGCCCUGCUGGGGGCACCAAACAUACCAGCGUCCCUGCAGAGACAGCUAAGGGGCCAGAGGGACUGUCAGACCGGUAGGAUCGGGCCUAAAGGGCUCAUGCCCCAGCAUGGCUGUCCCUACUGUGAAGCUGCCUUACCUUAGUUCAUACUAGAGGCUCCCGUGUGAGCUUGGAAGGGCAGAGCCAGCACAGCAUGGUGGCCUGAGCCCAGCACGGCCACCAUCAGCCAAAGACUGCUGCCCAGUUCAGUGACGCUGCUCCAUUCCAUAUCUGCAGGGUCAGCUCACACAUCAUUGAAGGCCCACCAAGACACAGCCCCUGUGCCCUCUCCAGGACCCUCCCCCCAGGCCCUGGCCUUGUGGAGGUUAGUGAUGCUGGUGCUCCUGGAGUCAAGAUUGUCUGCUCAUCUGCAGGGAAGGCACAGCGGCAUGAAGCAGCGAUUUCACCUCUGUUCCCCAGAGGCCGCCCUGGUAAAAGCCAGUUGUGGAUAUGUCCAAUUGAUGCAACGACAAUUCAGUAUGCCUGGGUGACAUCCUGAGUUCUUGGCACAUGUGACUGCAUCCCAUCCUGACAACCACCCCAGAAGGUGUGACUACCUCCCGCUUUGUGUGGAUGACAGACAGAGGCUGAGUAUCUUGCCCAAAGUCACACAGCUGACUGUGACGGAGGUGGGAAAUGCCUGUGAGAUACCUGCUAGACAGAAAGAGUACUGCUGUUGGCUCUGCACAGAAGAGGGCAUGGGGCAGAGAUGCUUGUGGUUUUGAAGAGGGACCCGAGGCACAGGCCAGUGACUGGUAACAACUCUUCCCUGUCUCCGCUCACUUGAGAACAGGUAAGGAAGGGGUCACUUCUUCCUUGCACCCUCUUGCUCUGUCUCCUCAGGAAUCCUAGGUGGUCUGUGGAAGAGAUCACUGGCCAAGAAUUGGGACCUCAAAGAUAGUCUGUUAGAUCCCUGCUGGCUCUACCCCACCCCCAGCCUGGGCUCUCCACAGCCCCUUCAGCGGGAAUUCCUCAGUCCAGCAUGGAGUUCCGGUGGAUUUUAUGGGCCAGCCACAAGCAGACAAACGGAGAAGAAAAACAUCCCCCUGGAGCCCACUGGCCUCUCAGAACCUCACUUCCGCUCAGCCGGAAGGAUGCUGAGCUGUUUUAACCCUGUGUGGGAGGUGACCUCGGAGAUGGAUUCAAGAUCCUCCCUGCCCCCACCCUGAAUUGACACUGGUCUUUCCCAAGACUCUACUUUCCCCCAAGCAUUCGGCAAAGCUGUUUCAAAGGUUGGUGAGAUGUCGGAGGAUGAGGAAACCUGCCACCAAGCCCGACAACCUGAGUGUGAUCCUUGGAUCACAUAUGGUGAAGGAGAGAACUGACCCCUUCAGUUGUCUUCCGACCUCCACACAGGCAUGAUGGCAUGCAUGCCCCAAUUCCCCAGUAAAUAAAAAAAACAAACAAACAAAAACAUAAAGGCACCUGAUACCUGUUUGUGAUCACGGCGAAUCGACUUAUUGGGUAGUACAGUAUGGCAGACUCGCAGCCAACUGUCCUGUGAGAAUGGGCCCAAGACAAGUGUAGGAAAUAGGCAGUAAGGUGGGCCAGCAUGGGUUUGCACGCAUGGGAGCUGGAGAUCCAGCUGGGCCUGUCUGGUUGGAAAGAUCUUAAUCCUGGCUGUGCAGAUGGAACUGUCUCUCUGAAACCGGCUUCGUGAGACAGUUGUGUGCCAUCGGGGGAAGGGAGCAGGGAAGGAUGCCAAGCAGACACACUGUUGGGACUUGACACGUCACAGCCACUGUUACUGUUGCUGUCCCUUGCGUCCUUCCUCAAACCUGGCAGGGAGACCCCAGUGCCCACAUUUCGUAAGUGGCACAAGCUCCCUUACUUGCCCUGUGCCCCACUUUCCCACUUACCAACCCGGAUUUUGAGGACUGAGCAUAUUAAACUCCAGUCAGUCCCUACAGGUUCUGUGCGGGUAAAAUUUGUCUGAACUCCACAUGGACAGUAACGAGAGUGUGAAUGGGGAGACUAGGCAAGAGGUGGUGAUAACAUGAGUCACCUGAGCACAAGUUCCCAGCUAAGGCCGGACAGAUCAGCACUGCCUCCCGCUCAGCCUGUCACAGUGUCUAUUUCAGACCACGUUUCCCAACCUGUUGUGCUUUUGGGUGGUGACUUGACUGUUUAAAAUGAUCCUUUGUGUUGCAUGGCAUCCCAUCUAAUGUUCCUUACUACAAAAAGAUAUGUGUGUUAAAUCAGUUUUGUUGAAGUGUGAGGCAUGAUGUCACAGUGAACUCAAAGUGAGUGACAAGGACUCACAUUGCAAAAGGGGUCCCUCAGCAGAGGUCCCCCAUCACCAAGGAAUUGACUAUUGAUAAAAAUGUGACUAGCAGGCUCCUGGGAGCAAGUGCUGAACAUCACUGCUUCAGGGGAGAUGCAUCUGAAGCGACCGAACAGCCUAGAGUCACAGAGCGUAGUGAACCCCACAGUACUGACAGGCUUGGGGGAUCUGCAGGCAUGGUCGUGAGUCACAGUACAACCACUGUCACCAGCUGGUGCGUCCACCACAGCGAGGGCUUGUUCUGUGGUGUCUACAGCUUCACCUGGGAAGCUGUCAUCUGUCAGGACUGGCUACAGUUGAUGGCUCUGGACUCAUGAGAAUUCAUUUACAGACCUGCUCCCUGGACCUGGCCAACAGAGAGAACAGAGCAGUCAGAAGCACUUCAUCCAGUCUCUACAGCCAUACCUUCCUCUCAGCGUGGUAGCCCCAGGACACCAAAAUUCUUUCAGUUGCAACUCUGAGCCCCAAAAGCGAGAGGGACCCAGAGAGCAAGCCAGAAGCUGCUGCACCUGUGGCCCAGUGUCUAAGGUCACAGAAGGUCAGCUCUGCCACGUGACUGGAGCUGCCCCUUUGCCCGCCCAGACUCACUGAACAGGGACAGAGAGCUGGGAUUUCAUUUCAUUUCCUCUCAUGAGACAGAGUUGUACUAGGUAGCUCAGUUAACCUCAAACUUGUGGUCCCUCUGCCUCAGCCUCAUGUGUGCUGCAAGCCUCAUUCCUGGCUCAGACCCUAGGUCUCUUUUUUUAAUAAUUUAUUUUUAUUUUAUGUAUAUUGGUGUAUUGCCUGCAUAUAUGUCUGUGUGAGGGUAUUAGACCCCCUGGAAUGAGUUUACAGACAGUUGUGAGCUGCCAUGUGGGUGCUGGGAAUUGAAUCCGGGUCAUCUGGAAGAGCAGCCAAUGCUCUUAACCAUUGAGCCAUCUCUCCAGCCCCUCAGAUCCUAGAUCUUUAAAAAAAAAAGUUAUUAGUAUAUAGUGAUUAUACAUGGUAGCAGUCUUUGUUAUGAUAUUGUCACAUAUGUCUAUAAUAUAAUUUUAUUAUAGUUACCCCUGUUCCCUUCUCUUGUCUCAUUCCUACUGGUGCCCUUCCCCUUCCCAGUUAGUCCUUCUUCUGAACACAGGCUCCAUCCUGCAGGGAAGCUCCUUAAACAGGAAGGUAAACAACUCAAAACAGCUUCAGGAAGUCCCUGAAACUGACUGGAUUCACUAGUCCCCUCCCUGCCAGAGAAAGCAAUGAAAGCUCAGAGUCCCUCAGUAGCUGAACUGAGCUGAGCUACAAAGAAGAUCCUCAGCCAAGCUGAGGUAAAAGAAGCAGAAACCAGCGGAGCUGCCUGAAAGACAUUUAGACCAACUGAACUACAUGCAAGGACACUUUUCAACCAGUUGAGCUGCCUGCAGGCUGUGCAGUGUGCUCCAGAUUCCCACCCAACUUUGUGAGCUGUCACCCAUGCUGGGGUGGGCUUUGGUGAUACAGCUGUCUUUGAGACAUUUCUGCUCCUAUAAGCAACCCCCACCCAUACUCCUGUAAGUAACCCCUUAAAACUCAUUGGUUCACCAAGUUGGACCGGGAUAGUACCUGUACUUUGGUCUGUCACGGGUUCCCUACCUGGGUGAGUAGACGUGUGUUACAUCUCCUCAGGAAAAGUUUUGUUACAGAACAGUGGUGUGUGUGUGUGUGUGUGUGUGUGUGUGUGUGUGUGUGUGUGUGUGUAUACAUGUGUGCUGUGGGAUGUAAAUAUGUGUUGCUCUGAUUGGUUGAUAAAGAAAAUGCUGAUUGACCAGUAGCCAGGCAGAAAGUAUAGGCGGGAAAAGCAGACAAUGAGAAUUCUGGGAAGAGGAAGGCUGGGUCAGGAGUCACCAUCCAGACACAGAGGAAACAAGAUGACAAGACAGAACUGAGAAAAGGCACCAAGCCACAUGGCUAAACAUAGGUAAGAAUUAUGGGUUAAAUUAAGUAUAAGAGCUAGUCAGUAAUAAGCCUGAGCUAAUGGCCAAGCAGUUAUAAUUAAUAUAAGCCUCUGUGUGCUUACUUGAGGGACGCAAGUGGGAGAGAUUUGUCCUGACUGCCGGCCAGCCGGGACACAGGAAAACUUCCAACUACACAUGUGUACAUGUGCAUGCAGUGGUUUCAUCAGGGUUGCUUGCAGAGCGUAUGUAAGAGGCUGUCUACCCAAGUACAACAGCUUAUGAAUAGCUCCACCAUGGAGGAAAGUGUCCCUCCCUUCCCCAACAACCAUUAGCUGUCAGGAGAAGUGGGGCUUCAUAUGAUGGACUGGUUGGUUGGCCCCAUCUUGUACUUGUAUGCAAGUGACCACAGCUGCUGUGGAUUCAAGAGUGUAAUGGCCAUGUCAGGCUUAGAAGACAUCCUUCUACAACAUUCCAUGCCUUCCUCUGGCCCUUAGCAUUCUUUCUGCCACCCCUCUUCCAUGAUGUUCUCUGGGCUUUAGAGGGCAGACCCCAGAUCUUGAUAGGCAGAGUGGGGGUGUCAUGUUUUUAAGCUACUACACCUGUCAACAGACAAGAAAAUGAGAGGUGUGGGCAUCUACCUGUACCUCUCCCCCAGCUGGAAUCCUGCAUGAGCUCUCCCUAACACCUCCAAGACCAAAUUCCUAUUCUGGAGCACAAUGGUGAUUAUUACCACACCCAGUUUCCAGGAUGUUGGGGAUGGAGUAAGACAGAGUAUUCAGCGUUUAGUUCAGUGCCUGGUGCACAGUAUGCUGUGGGUGGUAAUGGCAUUGACAUUCUUCCUAAUAACACCUGAAUAUACCAGUAAUGGCUUGCUUUUGGCUACAUGUAACAGAAACCUCCAUAACUGGUUCACCAAAUAGGAACUUCUGAUUUUUUUGUGAAGCUGGAAACUACUAUGACUGUUUAAAGAAUCACCAGAGGCCCAACUACCCCAUUCUUGGCAUGGGACUUCUGUUUUCCCAGCUUUGAGCUGGCGCCUGUGGCCCCAGGAAUUCAUCUCCGUUCCAGGCAGGAAGACAUGAAGGGUAAAAGCCAGAAGCCUUCUCAGGAAUCUCUAUAAUUUCAUCUGGGGAAGUGGUCCUCCCUAGGAAUCUCUAUCCUCAUCUCACUGGCCACCCCUAGCCACACGGCCACCCCUAGCUGUGAGGUAGGCUGACAAGUAUUUCCAGCUAGGCUGACCGGCACCCUAGACACACUGGGGUUCUGAAGAUGCAUUUCUAAGGUAAGGCAGAGAGCAGCGUCAGUGCGCCUAACCUGACCAAGCCCACAAACAUACCUUUCGUGCCAGGACUACCGUGGACCACAUGGGGUAGAUUGAUGUUUUUUUUUGUAUCAAUAAGCACUCUCACUUAGUAUAAACCCCUAAACUGCACUCAGACCACUUUUCCCAGGAAGCUAAAAUCUCACCCAUGUAAGCUUUCCUUUCUAUGACAAAAUGCCUGGAAUCAACUGAGAAGGAUGAAGGAUUUAUUUGGACACUGGGUUUUGAAAGUUUCUGUCUCUCUAUGCCGACUGGAUCUAUC
Molecule: long non-coding RNA, 9002 nt
Organism: Peromyscus californicus insignis
Lineage: Eukaryota; Metazoa; Chordata; Mammalia; Rodentia; Cricetidae
Exons: 3
Source: RefSeq, a predicted model, not a curated record